GCGUAUUUCUCGGCUCUGUACUGCAAAGGAUUUCCAUUAACAAGCCGGGGAUAGAAGCCCACAAUGCGAUCAGGGUGCUGACGCCAUACCCUAAAACCUCGUUCAACAUCGUCACAAGUCAUCAUGAUGUCAUCGUCAAGCUCCAAAACAGCUCGAGUUUUUAUUAAAGGAUCCAAUUUAAACCGGUUAUUGAGUGAGUUCUUCUCUUCUAUUCUGAUUCUCACAGGCACAACUGAAUCCAAAUCACUCAUCUUUGGAGGUGUUCCCUUGUUCCACACCACAACAAUCUCUCGAACAGACGAGCAUCUCGAAUAAUGCUUCACAUACAUUUUCAAAUUCCAAAGGCGAGCAUCAUAA
Molecule: unclassified non-coding RNA, 357 nt
Filed under: Hevea brasiliensis (rubber tree)
Lineage: Eukaryota; Viridiplantae; Streptophyta; Magnoliopsida; Malpighiales; Euphorbiaceae
Source: RNAcentral